AACGUUAGAGGGUAGGAAAAAUGAGAGGUUAUGACUUUAUGAGGGUCAUAGAACUAGUAGUUACUUUACCCUAGAGCUAGACAUUGUCUUUUUCCUGGGUAGAGAACCUGCUCUUCCUGCCUUCUGGGACAUGCAAUCGAACUGUAUCUCACAAUUCCCCUUGCAUCUAGGCGAACAAGUUGGCUGAACUAGAAUUUGACUAUAAAUGAUGUGCAUCACUUCUAGACUUGUCUAGUUAUUAAAAUAUCUUGUGUGAUCCUCUGUGCUUUUCCUGGAGUCCCAGCCACGUGGAAGAAGCCAAGCGAAGGGCUGUGGGGACCUAGAAGAUGGAGUCAUCAAACAAUGGAAGAAUCCCAGAUCUUCAAGUCACUGUUUGGACAAGAACCUACCAUGACAUGUGCCUGAACUUCGUGCAGUAACAGACUUCUCCCCUCACUACAACCUCGGCCCCCAGCAGAGCAGCUCUCCCACCUUCUGA
This 478-nucleotide long non-coding RNA is filed under the name Callithrix jacchus (white-tufted-ear marmoset). Its description in RNAcentral is "lncRNA (ENSCJAG00000080176.1)". Lineage: Eukaryota; Metazoa; Chordata; Mammalia; Primates; Cebidae. The record is from RNAcentral.